RNAcentral lists this ribosomal RNA (253 nucleotides) under uncultured bacterium. RNAcentral describes it as "partial 16S ribosomal RNA". It matches the Rfam family "Bacterial small subunit ribosomal RNA", at positions 524 to 776 of the family's 1533-position model. The record is from RNAcentral.
CACGUAGGAGGCAAGCGUUAUUCGGAUUUACUGGGCGUAAAGCGCGUGCAGGCGGUUUGGUAAGUUGGAUGUGAAAGCUCCCGGCCUAACUGGGAGAGGUCGUUCAAUACUACCAGACUAGAGGAUGGGAGAGGGAGGUGGAAUUCCGGGUGUAGUGGUGAAAUGCGUAGAUAUCCGGAGGAACACCAGUGGCGAAAGCGGCCUCCUGGCCCAUUUCUGACGCUCAGACGCGAAAGCUAGGGUAGCAAACGGG